CCCAGUGAUAAUUAUUUAACGGCCGCGGUAUUUUGACCGUGCAAAGGUAGCAUAAUCAUUUGUCUUUUAAUAGGAGUCUUGAAUGAAUGGAUAUAUGAAAUUAUAACUGUCUCUUAUUUAUAUUUAUAAAUUAUUUUACAAGUGCAGAGACUUGUAUAUUAAUAAAAGACAAAAAGACCCUAUUGAUCUUUAUUUUUAUAUAAUUUUUUAGACAUAAUAAACUUUAUUAUUUAAUAAAAUUUGGUUGGGGCGAUUAAGAAAUAUAUAAAUCUUUUUAUUUAUUUAUGAAUAACAUUUCUUUUUAUUGAUCUAUUGUUUAAUAAAUGGAAAUAGUUACCAUAGGGAUAACAGGCUAAUUUUUUUUUAGAGUUCAUAUUAAUAAAAAAGUUUGGCACCUCGAUGUUGGCUUAAGAUAUCCUAUAGGUGUAGCAGCUUAUAAGGGUUAGUUUGUUCAACUAUUAAAAUCUU
RNAcentral lists this ribosomal RNA (468 nucleotides) under Alciopina sp. JE-2010. RNAcentral's name for it is "partial 16S ribosomal RNA". It matches the Rfam family "Bacterial large subunit ribosomal RNA", at positions 1862 to 2597 of the family's 2925-position model. Lineage: Eukaryota; Metazoa; Annelida; Polychaeta; Phyllodocida; Alciopidae. The record is from RNAcentral.